This 763-nucleotide ribosomal RNA is filed under the name Arcobacter sp. NC101. Its description in RNAcentral is "bacterial SSU rRNA". It matches the Rfam family "Bacterial small subunit ribosomal RNA", at positions 87 to 871 of the family's 1533-position model. The record is from RNAcentral. Lineage: Bacteria; Pseudomonadati; Campylobacterota; Epsilonproteobacteria; Campylobacterales; Arcobacteraceae.
UCAGCUAAGUGGCGCACGGGUGAGUAAUAUAUAGGUAACAUGCCCUAGAGAGGGGGAUAACAGAUGGAAACGUCUGCUAACACCCCAUAUGCCUUUAAGACUAAAGUCUGCAAGGGAAACAUUUAUGGCUCUAGGAUUGGCCUGUACGGUAUCAGUUAGUUGGUGAGGUAAUGGCUCACCAAGACAAUGACACCUAACUGGUUUGAGAGGAUGAUCAGUCACACUGGAACUGAGACACGGUCCAGACUCUACGGGAGGCAGCAGUGGGGAAUAUUGCACAAUGGACGAAAGUCUGAUGCAGCAACGCCGCGUGGAGGAUGACACAUUUCGGUGCGUAAACUCCUUUUAUAUAGGAAGAUAAUGACGGUACUAUAUGAAUAAGCACCGGCUAACUCCGUGCCAGCAGCCGCGGUAAUACGGAGGGUGCAAGCGUUACUCGGAAUUACUGGGCGUAAAGAGCGUGUAGGCGGAUAGAUAAGUUGGAAGUGAAAUCCUAUGGCUCAACCAUAGAACUGCUUCCAAAACUGUCUAUCUAGAAUGUGGGAGAGGUAGAUGGAAUUUCUGGUGUAGGGGUAAAAUCCGUAGAUAUCAGAAGGAAUACCGAUUGCGAAGGCGAUCUACUGGAACACAAUUGACGCUGAGACGCGAAAGCGUGGGGAGCAAACAGGAUUAGAUASCCUGGUAGUCCACGCCCUAAACGAUGUACACUAGUUGUUGUGAGGCUAGACCUUGCAGUAAUGCAGUUAACACAUUAAGUGUACCG